This 444-nucleotide ribosomal RNA is filed under the name uncultured Defluviicoccus sp. RNAcentral describes it as "bacterial SSU rRNA". It matches the Rfam family "Bacterial small subunit ribosomal RNA", at positions 942 to 1382 of the family's 1533-position model. Lineage: Bacteria; Pseudomonadati; Pseudomonadota; Alphaproteobacteria; Rhodospirillales; Rhodospirillaceae. The record is from RNAcentral.
UGGUUUAAUUCGAAGCAACGCGCAGAACCUUACCAUCCCUUGACAUCCCUAUCGCGGUUUCCAGAGAUGGAUUCCUUCAGCUCGGCUGGAUAGGUGACAGGUGCUGCAUGGCUGUCGUCAGCUCGUGUCGUGAGAUGUUGGGUUAAGUCCCGCAACGAGCGCAACCCUCGCUCUUAGUUGCCAUCAGGUAAAGCUGGGCACUCUAAGAGAACUGCCGGUGAUAAGCCGGAGGAAGGUGGGGAUGACGUCAAGUCCUCAUGGCCCUUAUGGGAUGGGCUACACACGUGCUACAAUGGCGGUGACAGUGGGAAGCAAAGGUGCGAGCCUGAGCAAAUCUCCAAAAGCCGUCUCAGUUCGGAUUGUUCUCUGCAACUCGAGAGCAUGAAGUUGGAAUCGCUAGUAAUCGUGGAUCAGCAUGCCACGGUGAAUACGUUCCCGGGCCUU